Mus musculus (house mouse) is the source of this 109-nucleotide non-coding RNA. The record is from Rfam. NCBI's taxonomy places the organism in Eukaryota, Metazoa, Chordata, Mammalia, Rodentia, Muridae.
UUGUGCUUAUUUUGGCCACACAUAGACUAAGAUUGAAAUAAUACAGAGAAGAUUAGCAUGGUUCCUGUAUAAGGAUGUCACAAAAGUGAGUUGGGCAUGGUCAUUUUUG